UAUUAGGUUGGUGCAAAAAUAAUUGCGGUUUUUACCAUUGAGGGUAAUGGCAAAAACCGCAAUUACUUUUGCACCAAUCUAAUA
RNAcentral lists this microRNA precursor (84 nucleotides) under Pan paniscus (pygmy chimpanzee). RNAcentral describes it as "mir-548 microRNA precursor family". It matches the Rfam family "mir-548 microRNA precursor family". RNAcentral also lists the same sequence under 1 other name. Lineage: Eukaryota; Metazoa; Chordata; Mammalia; Primates; Hominidae. The record is from Rfam by way of RNAcentral.